CAGCAGUCGCCGCGGUAAUACAGAGGGUGCGAGCGUUAAUCGGAUUUACUGGGCGUAAAGCGUGCGUAGGCGGCUUUUUAAGUCGGAUGUGAAAUCCCUGAGCUUAACUUAGGAAUUGCAUUCGAUACUGGGAAGCUAGAGUAUGGGAGAGGAUGGUAGAAUUCCAGGUGUAGCGGUGAAAUGCGUAGAGAUCUGGAGGAAUACCGAUGGCGAAGGCAGCCAUCUGGCCUAAUACUGACGCUGAGGUACGAAAGCAUGGGGAGCAAACAGGAUUAGAUACCCCCGUAGUCCCUGUCUCUUAUAC
This 304-nucleotide ribosomal RNA is filed under the name uncultured bacterium. RNAcentral describes it as "partial 16S ribosomal RNA". It matches the Rfam family "Bacterial small subunit ribosomal RNA", at positions 509 to 807 of the family's 1533-position model. The record is from RNAcentral.